CUUUAUGCUCCCUCGCGACUAAUGGAAACACAGAAAAAUUUAUGUGCUUUCAUUAGCCGCGCGAACCUCAGCAAUAAAGACUAUUAAAAGCAACAAUACAUUACUUUCUGGUUAAUUGCUGCUUUUGAGUUGAAAAAAGGGGCCUCUGGAGGCCCCUUUUU
Molecule: small RNA, 161 nt
Filed under: Mangrovibacter plantisponsor
Lineage: Bacteria; Pseudomonadati; Pseudomonadota; Gammaproteobacteria; Enterobacterales; Enterobacteriaceae
Description: SraG RNA
Rfam family: SraG RNA
About the family: This RNA was discovered in E. coli during a large scale screen. Evidence was found for specific cleavage of this RNA.
Source: RNAcentral